Molecule: long non-coding RNA, 9056 nt
Organism: Equus caballus (horse)
Lineage: Eukaryota; Metazoa; Chordata; Mammalia; Perissodactyla; Equidae
Source: Ensembl
UUUCUUUUGUCUUUGUUUUGGCAUACUGAUUUUUUUUUUUUUGAGGAAGAUUAGCCCUGAGCUAACAUCUGCCACCAAUCCUCCUCUUUUUGCUGAGGAAGACUGGCCCCGAGCUAACAUCCGUGCCCAUCUUCCACUAGUUUUUAUAUGUGGGACACCUGCCAUAGCAUGGCUUGCCAAGCUGUACCAUGUCCACACCUGGGAUCUGAACUGGCGAACCCUGGGUUGCCAAAGCAGAAUGUGUGAACUUAACCACUGUGCCACCGGGCCAGCCCCACAGCAUACUGAUUUUUUAUCUCUGAUAAUUUUAUGAUCUGAAGUUCUUCCACCGUGUGUUGAGUAGGUUGAUUUUUCAGUCUAAUUUUCCUGUUUAUUUGUAAAUUUUGAACUGUGAACUCACCUUAAGUGCGACUUAUCGGUGGGAAUCUUGUACAACCUCCAGAGCAAUUUUUAAUCUUCUACUGCCAAGGAUAUCUGCAGCUUGGCAGGACUUUUUUUUGGUUAUCUUUUUGGCUCAGACAUCUCCAGCCAAUGGAAUAGGCUCAUGAUCAUACAUUUUUUGGAGAGAGAAUUAAUUUUUCCACUCCAAGCCUAGGCCAAGAUAAACUGUCUUCUUUUUUUGGAUGGCAUUUUUUUUUUUUCUUAGUACACCUUUUGCAGAGAGGUAAAACUUCUGGAAGCUCUCUUGAUUUGGGAGCCUCAGUUCUAUCUCCCUUUCCUCAAAAAAGCUUCAGGCUUUAUCCAUGACUCACAUGGUGAUUAAGAACCCAACCUGUUGGUUGCAAAGACGUGCAAAACCCUGUAGAGUUGUCUAGCAUUAUUCGCUAAUUUGUACCUUUCUAGUUUAAGUUUCUCAGUCGUUUUUGGCCACUGUAGAUUUCUCUUGCCUUAUUACCUUUAGUUUUAUAGCAGGAACAUUUUCAGGUUUCCCAACUCUCAAACUGCCAGCAACGAAAGUCUGUUUGCUUAACUCUUAAAGCUUAGGCUAUUCAGAUAGGAGUCCUGGGUUAGAAAGAAAAGGAUUCAAAUAGUAAUAGAGCCAAACAAUCAUAGAGAAUAAUAUAAAGGUGUUUACCGUAGAAAUUGGUUUUGUGCUUUUUGCCUUCAGUAAGCUGUAUUUACAGGAAAACAACUUGCUCUUGACUGAAAAUGUUUCUAUUCUUUCAACAGGAUGGUACUAAGUGUCUAGUAUCUGCAUGAAAGCAUGGGAUGCACUUCAGAUUUCAGCGUAUUGACUCCUGACCUAUUUCUCUCUUGGUCAAAAGAGAAACAAACCCAUGUUUAAAUUGGGAAAAUGACAAUCAAUGCUGUGCAGAUCUUUCAUGUAAAAAAUGUGUCCUUAAAACAAAACAAGGAGAUUAAAUGGUGCUGGAAUUUUGACAAUGUUGUCAUGAACUGCUGCCCAUUAAAAGCAAUUAACUGGGGUUGGCCCUGUGGCAUAAGGGUUAAGUUUGCACAUUUUGCUUUGGUGACUCAGAGUUCGCUGGUUGGGAUCCUGGGUGUGGACCUAUGCAGCAGCUGUCAAGCCAUGCUGUGGUGGUGUCUCACGUGUAAAGUAGAGGAAGAUGGGCACGGAUGUUAGCCCAGGGCUAAUCUUCCUCAAAAAAAAAAAAGAAAAAGAAAAAAGAAAAAAGAAGCAAUUAACCCAUUGUUCUUUAUUAACUGGCCAUGCAGUUUAUGCAACUCAAAGGGCUCACAGUCUGAAUCUGCUCUGAUCUUGUUUUACAAGUAAUUAUGACCCAAGUAUCUACAAUUAUACAUAUGUGUCUGUCCAUUUUGCUCCCUUAGAAAUAGUAUCAUCCUAUUUGUACUUAUCUAGAAAAGAAACUUUUCCAGUUCAGCGAACUUGGUUUACUUGGCAAGAGAAUGCAUAAGGACACCCGUUUACAUCUGUUGAUUUGGCAGAGAGUUAAAGAACAUGGUGGGUAAUGCCCUUCAUCCAGGCUCAUCUCUCCUGAAAGGUCACUGCAAUGGAUUUUGAAGCCAGGUGUUCUUUUGAGAAAAAAAAAAAUCAGAACUUAAAAAAUAAUUCAAAUAUUAUGGCCAUACUAGAAAGUUUCUAUACCCUUAAAGGGCUGAGGGAACUCUAGGUAUAAGCACCAAGUAACAAAAACUAUUCCUUGAGCCAAAAGAGACCCCAGGAAGUCUGUUUAAAGGUCACUAUGACCUUGAAGCAAGCUGGAGCACAUCUCUCUUCCCAUGGCCCCAAAAUAUUGUGAGGUAACUCAGAAACCACAAAGGACACCCUCGAGUAUGAAGACAGAGGGCAAACAUCCAUUCGUGCAUUGCUGUGGCAUCUCUGACCUUUCUCUCACCAGUGCCUGAGAUGUCCACGGGAUUCCAACAGCUGAGGGUGAUGGAAAAAAGUCUGUAGAAAUAUUUUGCUUCUCCUGUGGUUGAGUUGACUAACAGGGCUGAGAAGAUGCCGUGUUUCUUAGAAUUGAAUUUGUGAGUUUUUUGACUCCAUAAGUCAUCAAUGAAGGAAUGACUCAUUUAAAAACACUUAAAGAGAGUCUACUAAGUGCUUGGGUUGAAGUGACAGAGGCAAUUAAAAAUUGAUUCCUGCCCUAAAGGAACUCACAGGGAGGUGCAGGAGGCAGAGAGGUCAAUAAGUCAGUUCAAUAUGAUAUGAUAAGAGUUAGGGAUAUGAUAAGAGUAAUGUGGGUGGAGGAGGGGUCCAGGUCCAAUCGUGGGAGUGUGGGGGAGAAGGUCAGGAAGGGAUUCCCAGAGGAGGUGACCUCUGACUUGAGUAAAAACAGAAUUGUGGCAUUAGUUAAUGCUAAGGCAGUAAUCAUAUUGCAACAUAUAAGUGCAUCAAACCAACACCUUGUACAGCUUAAACUUGCACAACGUUAUAUGUCACUUAUAUCUCAAUUGAAACAAAAGGGAAUUGCAUGUGUGUUUGCCAAGUGAACUCUUCUCAACCAUAAGAGAAAAGCAAAACUUAGGUAUCCUUUGGUUAGGAACAAGGCAGGUAUGGCUAUUUCUUGAAAGGAACUGUCUCAUUUGAUUAUUCUUGUUUUGCUUUAUUUUGUUGCCUUGGUAACGUAGCCUUUACUAUUAUGUGCGGUGUUACUUUCAGAAGCAAAAGCGUUUCACCCUCUGAAUAGCUUAGACGUUCCAUGUCAUAACGCACAUCGGGGGAGUGCCUGCUCUAUCACCUACUACUGGACCAGGCUACCUGCCUGGAGGAGAUGCCACGAAAGGGUGACAAUGGACAUUUCCAUUACAGUCUGGGUCUUCUCAGGCAUGAUGUCAACUGGAAGAGAGAGAGUGGCUGCAGCCUGAAUCCUAGCCUGAGGGUCAGGAUAAAACUAAAUGCACUUUAUAACUGCAGUGAGUAGAGCAACGCUCUGACCAGUUGCUUUGGACUCUGCACUGGGGAGUAGACAAAUGCAAACAAUGGACCGAAAUGAAGGGGAGCUUUAGGACGGAGGCAUGGAUGAGAGAGGACUCUGAGAAGUUCUGAGGACAGGGGCUUCUUCAUCUCUGUUCCACUGAAUUGACAAUUUCUCACAAGAAGUUUUGAAAAUUCCUCAUUUUAUCGUUGAAAGGAAACAAUUUAAUUCAACACAAUUACAUUGUUAACUCUUGUACAGCUACUAUAAUGAAUUCUGGGUUUAUAUUGAUGAAAAAGACUUAUUUCUGCCUCAGGUUGCUCACAGAGUAGACAGACUCUUAAACAGGUAACCAAAAUGCAGUGAUAGAAUGGAUUUGGCUAAUUCGUGCAAAGAUUCUAUCCCCGUGAUCUCAUUACCCCUGAUUCCCCGGCCAGGUGUGAUAGAUACAGUGCAGGGGAGAUGGUCAGGCUCUGAUUUUCUAUCCUAGAUCUACCCAGAGCUGUUCAUCAUUCCGUAAUUUUCUUUGCAUUUCACACCUCCAGAUCCCAGUCAUAGUUAAUAGCGUGUCACUUUACCUCGCCACUUCUGUGGAAUUUCCUGGCUGCAUGCAAACUCAGCUCUCUAAGAGAAUUAGGCUGUCUCUAGACCACAUCUGUCCCUGAACCCCUGCCUCUGCUUGGGUCUCCUUGUCCCAACGUUAACCUUGGCCCCUAUUUAUCCUCAAUCCUUCAUCUCGUCCUCUUCCCCCCUUCAAAAACCUUUUGCUCAGUUCCUGCCAUUCUUGAACCCUUGUGGAUUUCAGCAAGACAGAGCUAAAAUGAAAAAUGGAACAAACACUCAAAGGAGUUGCAUCCUGGAUCAUUGAACCUCAUUGGUGCACCUGCAAAAAUAGAGCCAGGAUCUUGAAAGAACGGAAGGUGGCAGUAGAGGAACGAGCAUACUUUCUGGUCCCGGUGCUGAAGAAAAGCCAAAUCCAGGAUUCCAGCUUCACUCAAUUUUCUCUCACAGAUGUAUUACUUCUCUUCGUGUUGCCAUUUCUCUUCUUUUUAUCCCUUUCUAAUUCAGUCUUUCAUCUCUCCUCUCUGAUUCUUUCUCCAUGUUCCCCCAAUUGCUUUGGAAGGCUUUGUGCUAGCUGAGAUAUCAUUUCUAGUUGACUUUUUCCAAGAAAUAUUAAAUCUGCCAUCCUUUGCCUUUUCAUCCAUUUAAGCCUUACUUAAAUGAAUGGGUUCUAGGAACUAAUACAACAACUUACAUUCUCUACCAUCUUUAAUACAAAACUUACCGAAAUAAUACUGGGUGGGUAAAAUUAGCAAACGUGUGAUUUUAGGCAAUUGCCUGUAGAAUUUUUAGCGAGUUGCUAAACUACUUAAGUAACUUCCUCAGGAGAAUCUAUAUCAGGGAUCAGCUAACCAUCACCUGAGGGUCAAAUCUGGUCUGCAACCUGUUUUUGUAAAUAAAGUUUUAUUGGAGCAUUGCCACGCUCAUUUGUUUACCUAUAGCCUAUGAGUGCUUUUGCACGACAAUGGCAGAGUUAAGUAGUCAUGACAGAGACUGCAUGGCCUGCAAAGCCUAAAAUAUUUCCUUUCUGGCUCUUUACAGGGUUUGCUGACCGCUGCUCUAGGUGUCUGUAUUAAUCCACCCGCUAAGUUGUGCUGCAGAAGGAAAUGAUUGAAAACCGCAGUGGCUUACAACAAAGGGGCACUUCUCACUCACGUGACAUGACCUUUGAGGGUCAGCUUUGAUGUUUCACUCCAGGCUGCAGGCUGGAAGAGCAGACCCCAUAUGGAACAGUGCUGAUUUAGGAAAGAGGGAGAAGAGAGAAGGCAGAAUCACAAUAGCUCUUGAAGGUCAAACAGUAUGAGUCCUACAAUGAGUACGGCCUCAGAAUGCUAUGUGUUCCGAGGGUGACAAAGGAAGCUCAGAUCCUCUGGAUUCCUGGCAAGACCCUCCACCUCGCUCUCCCCCAUGCUGGCCCUCACAGCCUCCUCUUCGCUCUUUGCUUGGAGAAUCUCAGGAUCCAUCUCACCAUUUCCCUUGCAUCACAGAUUGAGUUUCCUGAGCAGGAGAUUUGAACACAGAUGGUUCACUGGGGAGUUCUCUCAGCAUCGCCAGCUGUCGGGGGAAUGGAAGGCAGCAGAAUGGGCCCGGGCAGAGUAGUGGCAGCAGAGGCCCGCAAAGAUCCUGUAAUGCCAGGAAGAGUUCCGAAACUUUGAUGAUUUUUUAGAGUGGCUGUGAGCAAGGUAGGCCAAGGGGCCAGGCAUUUAUCUCUCUCCAUUGACCCGUCAUUGAGGGGACUGAGUGAGCCCAGGAAGCGGUGUGAUGUUGAGUGAGGGAGCUCUCUUCAUCCACGGGCAGUUCAGGGAGGGGCACUCGGCUAAGAGCUGUCAGCACUGCCAUCCCACAGCUGAGACAUGAGUGCUUCAGUCCUGGAAAGGGGCGUGGGGAUCUGGGCAGAGCGCUGCAGCAUUUACCACACCUGUCUACUGCAAGCACCCUCAGAAGUGCAGGACUCAGGGCGCCCAGGUUUCCCCAUCCCCUGGAUUCUCAUCUCCAUUCAGCUCUGCACAUUCUCUUUCCUGUCCCGGUCACCCAGCCCUCCCCAAACCCUGACUCUCCUACUGUGCUCUUUGAAAUUCACAGGCAGUCACCAGCACUCUUGUCUAUAUCUGCAGAUUCUUCUCUCACAAUUCCCUGCCUCUUCAUGCUCUAAGUGAAACCUAGCUCUUCCCCGAGGCCACUUCAUCUUCAGCAGACCUUCAAAGGAUGCUGCUUUCUCACCUACACCCUGUACCCCUUGGACACAGAGGUGAGAUAGGUGUCCUCCCUGUCUCCACAUUGCCACUUCCAGGCUUUGCUCCUUCCUGCCUCCCUAGUACUCCCAGCUCCAAAUCUCCAAUCAAGAGAGUGCCGUUCACCACCUCUCCGUGUUGCAGACCAGUGGGUCACUCCCACUCAUUCCUUGAAGACUUUAGCUCCUGGCACCCUGUAAGUCUUACUAACACAAGUCCUGUCAUCAUUCUUGUGAUAUAAAUGUCCACAUAGAGGUUGCUCUUAAUGCAUCUGCCCCCUGAUUUGUUAUUUCCCCUCCUAGAGUAGUCUUUGGUUCCACUCUAUCUCAUCAAAUUAUCCUCGUUCAUAGUCUUGACCUUGUUACCAAUGAUAACAAUCCAUCCAAGUUCCCGUUAUAAGCACCCCAUGCUCCAGCCAUCAUCUUGUGUCUUUCCAACUCAUUUCCUCAGGGAUUCUAACUCGAAUAAUUGACUCCAUUGGGACCUCAAAUACGACCUUUCCUCUGUCCCUCUCUGCCCAGCUGAGAUGUCUUGGUUCAUCAUGUACACAUUGUCAAUUGCAUUGCUCCCCUUGGUCCUCCUCACCUGGAAAAAGUUCAACUCUUCACCCAUUGCAGUUGGACAGGGCUUGAGAAAACCGUGCUUGUUAAAUGCAUGGACUGUCUUAGUCCAUUUCAGCUGCUAGAACAAAAUACCAGAGACCGGGAAUGUGAAACAUACCCAGAAACAAUAGAAAUUUAUUUCCUCCAGUUCUGGAAGCUGGAAAGUCCAAGAUCAAGGCACCAGCAUGGGCGAGUUCUGGUGAAGGGCCUCUUCCUGGAGCCUUCUGGCUGUGUGCUCCCAUGGUAGAUGAGGAGAGGAAGAUCGGUGGGGUCUCUUUUCUAAGAGUACUAAUCCCAUUCAUGAUGAGUCCAUCCUCGUGACCUAAGCAUCUCCCAAAGGUCUCUGAAUACCAUCACAUUGGGCACUAGGAUUUCAACAUAUGAAUUUUGCGGGGACACAAUAGCAUUGACCUAAAGUGAGGUCAUAGGGCUAUAGGUCAUAGCUAUAGUUACCUAGUCUGUUUUCUUCCUGACUUUCCUGUUUUCUUCCUGACUUUCCCACUUUCUCCUUUCCCUUCAAACACCCAACAUCUUCUCACUCUCAGCUGAUGACUUUGUAUUUUACUGAGGAAAUAGAAGCAAACAUAAGACUCUUUCCACAUGUUCCCUCCUAUCUCCAUCUGUACCCAUAGAGUCUGACUUCCCUCUUGAUCCUACAGAAGAACAGUCUUUAUUUCUAUCUCAAGCCAACACCCCAAACCCGCACUUAUGUGGUAGAUCCUUCUCCUUUUUACAUACUGAAGGACACUGUUCCAGUGUUUGUCUCCUCCCUCUUGUACGUUAUCAAAUUAUUCUUGUCUACUAUAUCAUGCUAUCAGCGAACAGAUAUGCUGCCAUUUCUUCCAUCUUAAAAUGCCUCUCUUGAUCCCAUAUCCUCCUCCAGCAACUACAUUUCUCUGUGUCUCUGGAUAGCAAAACUCAGAAGAGUUGUCUUUACUCAUUAUCUCCUUUCCCUGUCCUUCGCCACACUGCAAUCAGAUUUUCAUCCUCUUCCCCUCACCAAUCCACUAAAAAGGCUGUCACAUUGUAGCUUUGAUGGUCAGUCCUCUGUCCUUAUUGGACUUGACUUCUCAGCAGCAUUGGACAAAGUUGGUCACUUUCUCUGUCUUGAAAUACACUCUUCUCUCAGCCUCCAGAAUACCACAGACUCCGGUUUUCUUUCAACAUUGCUGGCUGGUCCUUCCCAGUCUCCUUUGCUUGCCCCUCCUCAACCUCCACAUUGCUAAAUACUACAGUACUUCAGAGAUUCUCCAGCAGACAUCCUCUCAGCUCUGACUAUGCUCCCUCCUGGGGGAGCUCACCUGGUUCCAAGACUUUAAAUGCCAUAUAGCUCCCAAGCUUAUUUCCACACUCUGAAGCUCUGCUUUGAUAUUCAGACUCACAUAUCUAGUUGCUCACUUGACAUUUCCACUUGGAUGUCUCACGGGCAGCUCAAACUUAAUGUGUCCAUCUCCAGAUUCCCGAUAAUAGCUGUCAUGUGGCUGCUUUGAGAAUCAAGUUAAGCAAUGCAUGUGCUGUAUCUUAGAAUAUCUGUCAUGGUAAACACUCAAGAAAUAGUAACAUUAUUAUAAUUGCAUUGAGCAGGUACUCAGAUAUUUGUUGAAUAAAUGAAUAUUACAGUUAAUUGCUAGGGUAAUAAUAUACUGUCUUAAGUAGUCAGUAAUAAUAAGUAUAUGUUGAUGGUAAAGAGAAUAAGUAACAUAGCUUGUUUUUUAUCCAAUAAAUAUUUGAUGUGUACUAUGUACCAGGACCAGUUAUAGAAUAUAGCAGAAAAGACCAGAUAGAAUCCCUUCUUUCUUGAAGUUUACAUUCUGAGGGGUGGAGGGGGAAGGUGACAAAUAAACAGUAUGUGUAAAUAAACAAAUAUAUACUAUGUCGGAUAUUGAGAGACACAAUGGAGAAAAAUAAAGUGGGGAAGAGAGAUUGAGGGUGCUAGGGAUGUGGUGGGGAGGCUGUUUUUGGUAGCAUGGUGUAUUAGUACAUUAUUGCUGUGUAACAAAUUACUCCUGAACUUAAAGUAACAACAAACAUUUAUUAUCUCGCACAGUUUCUGUGGGUUAGGAAUUUCAGAGCACCUUAGCUGGCUGGUUCUGGCUCAGAACCUCUUAGAAGUGUACAGUCAAGGUGUUGCCUGAGGCCACUGCCAUCUGAGAGCUUGACUAGGCCUGGAGUUGGCUCCCUCACAGGCUGGCAAGCUGGUGUUGGCUGUUGGCAGGAGGCUUUCGUUGCUCGCCAUGUGGACCUAUCCACAGAGCUGCUUGCAUGUCCUCGUGGCAGAGCAGUUUGCUUUCCUCAGAGAAGGUGAUCCAUAAGGGAUCAAAGGG